Molecule: ribosomal RNA, 113 nt
Filed under: Caerostris extrusa
Lineage: Eukaryota; Metazoa; Arthropoda; Arachnida; Araneae; Araneidae
Source: RNAcentral
AACGGCCGUACCAUGCUUAAUAUACCGGUUCUCGUUAGAUCACCGAAGUCAAGCAUCAUUGGGCGCGGUCAGUACUUGGGUGGGUGACCAGCUAGGAACAACACGUGCCGUUG